Taeniopygia guttata (zebra finch) is the source of this 267-nucleotide non-coding RNA. The record is from RefSeq and is a predicted model, not a curated record. NCBI's taxonomy places the organism in Eukaryota, Metazoa, Chordata, Aves, Passeriformes, Estrildidae.
GCUGAGGAGGAGGAGGGUGUAGAGCUGGGAGGACUCGGGGAAGUUGCUGCAUGCUUGAGCGGGGAGGCAAGAGGAGUACACACGCUUUCAACCAAGUAAGAAGAAGUUCCCCUGUGGUCCAUUUAUUCCAAAAUUACAUGCCCUGCUGAACCAUUCUCUACUGCAGCCAGCGUGUCCUGCACCAGACAGGAUGCUGCAUUUCAUGGACACUGUCCUGAUUUCAGGAAAUCAAGUAUUUCACUGUCCCCAACACUGCUAGGAAGGAGU